This 427-nucleotide ribosomal RNA is filed under the name uncultured bacterium. RNAcentral's name for it is "partial 16S ribosomal RNA". It matches the Rfam family "Bacterial small subunit ribosomal RNA", at positions 355 to 774 of the family's 1533-position model. The record is from RNAcentral.
UGGGGAAUAUUGCACAAUGGGCGCAAGCCUGAUGCAGCCAUGCCGCGUGUGUGAAGAAGGCCUUCGGGUUGUAAAGCACUUUCAGCGAGGAGGAAGGGUAGUGUGUUAAUAGCACAUUGCAUUGACGUUACUCGCAGAAGAAGCAUCGGCUAACUCCGUGCCAGCAGUCGCGGUAAUACGGAGGGUGCAAGCGUUAAUCGGAAUUACUGGGCGUAAAGCGCACGCAGGCGGUUUGUUAAGUCAGAUGUGAAAUCCCCGCGCUUAACGUGGGAACUGCAUUUGAAACUGGCAAGCUAGAGUCUUGUAGAGGGGGGUAGAAUUCCAGGUGUAGCGGUGAAAUGCGUAGAGAUCUGGAGGAAUACCGGUGGCGAAGGCGGCCCCCUGGACAAAGACUGACGCUCAGGUGCGAAAGCGUGGGGAGCAAACA